This 254-nucleotide ribosomal RNA is filed under the name uncultured bacterium. Its description in RNAcentral is "partial 16S ribosomal RNA". It matches the Rfam family "Bacterial small subunit ribosomal RNA", at positions 524 to 776 of the family's 1533-position model. The record is from RNAcentral.
UACGUAGGGUGCGAGCGUUGUCCGGAAUUAUUGGGCGUAAAGAGCUCGUAGGCGGUCUGUCGCGUCGGUUGUGAAAACUUGGGGCUUAACCCUGAGCUUGCGGUCGAUACGGGCAUGACUGGAGUUCGGUAGGGGAGACUGGAAUUCCUGGUGUAGCGGUGAAAUGCGCAGAUAUCAGGAGGAACACCGGUGGCGAAGGCGGGUCUCUGGGCCGAUACUGACGCUGAGGAGCGAAAGCGUGGGGAGCGAACAGG